Megalopta genalis is the source of this 2984-nucleotide long non-coding RNA. RefSeq lists it as uncharacterized. Lineage: Eukaryota; Metazoa; Arthropoda; Insecta; Hymenoptera; Halictidae. The record is from RefSeq and is a predicted model, not a curated record.
GAGAUUAGAAUUUUAUUCCAUAUAAUAUAUAUAUAAUAUAUUAUUUUAAAGGAUAGAAUAACAUCUACACUCAAUAAUUUAUUACUAAAAAUUUUCGCGACGAGUCAGACUCGUCAAAAUACGGCAAGGGAUUAAUAAAAUGUUGACGAUUAAAUCAAAAACUGGUUUCAAGAUUUAGUUCUCAUAUUUAUCGUCGAUCCGAAAUUAUCGCGCGACAUAGUGCAACAAAUCCACACGGGAUACCACUGAAAUAAAAAAUGCUAGAACAAUAGUAUCUCAUGGGUGAGGUAGAAAUCUAUUGAUACGAGCGUCGCACAGUGGUUUAAAACAGGAAGAAAGUAAUUUUUGUUAAUGUUAAGUAAACAAAAACUGCUUUCUUGUAGUUCCAUAGUAGGAUAUAUGACUAAUUAAAAUCGUUAAAUAUUUUCUCUAAAUACCUUUAGAUUGUUCCAAAAAUGUAGUAUGCAAGUUAGAGAAACAAAAAUAACUGCGUUUGUAGCUAAAACCGCAUCACCUUUUUAAACAGUAUUGAGAGUAGCUGAGAAAUUUGAAACAGAAAAGCUUAUAUACUUUAAUUAUAUACAUAAUAAGAAAAUAUGUUACGUUCGUUAAAUUAAUAGAUUUUAGUAGAAAACGAGUUUCACAUAAAUGAAUUACGUUUACACGAAUGUAUUAUUUAAGUUUUCCUUUCCGGCUCAGAUAAAAACGGUAAAAAAUAUGACUUUCUUAUCUUAUCCGUCACUUCAACAAAUUGUAGUUUCAAGAAGUAAAUUUUCAAGGUAUUCAAUUGUUUGUUAUUAAUAACAAACGUUAAGCGAUUCCAAUGAAAUUUUCAGCAUGCAUAUAAGUUACCGAGAUUUACAAAACACAUUCCUUUUAAUUUUCGUUCUAGACAAAAUUCAGAUGAAAGGAUAGAAAAAAAACAUCAUUUCUUAGAUUUUUUUAUCUACUACUGUAAAUUACAGAAAAAUUAUUUUUCUGAACUUUACAGAAAAAUUACAGAAACGCAUUAUUUAAAUUUUCUUUUCAGGCUUAGAUAAAAUCGGUAAAAAAUGAGUGUUUCUUAUCUUAUCCGUCAUUCUAACGAAUUGGAGCUUCAAGUAAAUUUUCAUGGUCUUCAAUUAUUUGUAGUUUUUAACUACGUCAACCGUUUUAAGUGAAAUAUGUAACAUGGGUGUGAGUUAUUUAAAUUUUCCAUUUAGACUCGCAUAAAAACGGCAAGAAACGCGAGUUUCUUACAACAUCUGUCAUCCCAAUGAAUCGUAAUUUCAAAAAAUAUAAUAAAUUGUAGUAAUUGUUAUUUCAUUUUAAACGGUGUACGAACACAAUCGUAAGCCAUUGUAAAUUAAUUUAACAAAAAAUAGAAUCUAAAUAAUUUGUUUCUGUUGAGAACUACGUAUGUAUAAUCUUAAAUGUUUCCAAUCUUUUUUUAUAGUUUUUCAUCCAUAUUUGUCAUAAAUGCAUAAAAUUUGGAAGUUCAAUGAUGAUUUUAUUCGCUAAUGGUGUUCAUUUAUUUUACACCUUAGAAACACAAAAGGUUGCUCUAGAAUUUUUUAAUACACAAGAACCUAAGAAAAAUUGGAUAAACUUUAGACAAAGAACAAGAGAGACAGUACAUUAUUACUGGCAUGUUUAGAAAAUGUGUAGUGCAAUGUAGGUUAAUUUUAGUACUUAAUUUCUACUUUAUAAAAUAUCAAGGCCUUAAUACACGUUUUUAAGUUUUCUACUUAUUAACCCGAUGAGACCCAUAAUUCUUGUUUAAGCCCAAGCAUCACACAUAAAAAUGUAUGACAUUACAAAUGCAAUUGAAAUACAAAAUGAUAUCAUGCUUUUCCAUCGUAUACUCGAAAAUAACGUAUUUUGAGGUUAUGUUCAAAAUUUACCGAAUUAGGUGCUAACGUGACCUUAAAUUCGGAUUCAGCGUGCCAAAAGUUCUUGACCUUUCUUUCUUGCAUAGCCGAUUCAGUCCAACUUGAUUCAAUCGUAGCCUACGAAAGAGUUAUUACAAUUUCAAGAGCUUUUGAAAUAAAAACCGUGAAACCGGUCAUCUUGACCGUUUCGGUAUUUCGUGUUAAAGAAUACAAACACGUUAUCCGUGAAGAUUAAAAUAAUGGGACUGCAUUCACAUCAGGGAUCCACGAGUCCGCGCAAAAAUCAUCAGAAAUCGGUACGAAGCAACGAUAAGCCAGGCCUACCGGUUCACCUUGGCUCCGAUACAGCCUCCUGCACCGAUCCGCGGGUCGUCAUUCGCAACGGACAUGCACUUUGGAACCGAAGCGAUCGGAUCCAUCUGUUCCCUCUCGCGGUUCGGGUGAAAGUUGCGAAAACCCGUCGGAACAUUUCGGAAAUACAUGCGCGCCGAUGGAAAAACUGUCGUCCGAGUGAUCGGGUCCUCGCGCGUUAAUCACUCACCGAGGUCAUUGGAGGCCGCGUUGCGAAAACGCUUCGAGUAUUCCGGCGUCCACCGACACGUCCUCAGAUCGUUCCCGCAACGGGAGACCGGUUCUCGUAUCGCGGCCACUUUCCACGAGUGUACUCCUCAUAAACACCAAAAAGGAUAAUAAAAUGGAAGAAUCUCUGGCAUCAUGACGAGUCCUGAAUUUUUUAGGCUCAUGAUUCUGUAACUGCAGAAGAUAUUUAAAGACUAAAUAUACAGGGUGUCCCAUUUAAGUUGAGACAUAUGACACCUCGUAGAUAUGUGAUUUAAUAAAUGACAUUAAUAACACAUUAAUAACAUAUUAAUGACAUAUUAACAAAUGAUAGUAAUCAUUUUGCAUAUUUGUCAUAACCUCUUAACGAAGCAUUUAGAAAUCUAUGUUCAUAAAAUAUUUUUUUCUUAUUUUUACUCGUAGCAUAUGCAAAGUUUUGCGGAAUGAACUUGGGCACUUUGUACAUCAUGGAAACAUUUUUAAACAAAAAUGAAUAACAAAUAAUGAAAAUAGAUGCUUGGAGCUACAAAAUGAAUCCAGAUUCCAGAUUCUCUC